This 437-nucleotide ribosomal RNA is filed under the name uncultured bacterium. RNAcentral describes it as "bacterial SSU rRNA". It matches the Rfam family "Bacterial small subunit ribosomal RNA", at positions 957 to 1391 of the family's 1533-position model. The record is from RNAcentral.
GAACGCGAAGAACCUUACCAGCCCUUGACAUCCCGGUCGCGGACUCCAGAGACGGAGUUCUUCAGUUCGGCUGGACCGGAGACAGGUGCUGCAUGGCUGUCGUCAGCUCGUGUCGUGAGAUGUUGGGUUAAGUCCCGCAACGAGCGCAACCCCCGUCCUUAGUUGCUACCAUUUAGUUGAGCACUCUAAGGAGACUGCCGGUGAUAAGCCGCGAGGAAGGUGGGGAUGACGUCAAGUCCUCAUGGCCCUUACGGGCUGGGCUACACACGUGCUACAAUGGCGGUGACAAUGGGAUGCUAAGGGGCGACCCUUCGCAAAUCUCAAAAAGCCGUCUCAGUUCGGAUUGGGCUCUGCAACUCGAGCCCAUGAAGUUGGAAUCGCUAGUAAUCGUGGAUCAGCACGCCACGGUGAAUACGUUCCCGGGUCUUGUACACACC